This 253-nucleotide ribosomal RNA is filed under the name uncultured bacterium. Its description in RNAcentral is "partial 16S ribosomal RNA". It matches the Rfam family "Bacterial small subunit ribosomal RNA", at positions 524 to 776 of the family's 1533-position model. The record is from RNAcentral.
UACGGGGGGGGCAAGCGUUGUUCGGAAUUACUGGGCGUAAAGGGUUCGUAGGUGGCUUGCUCAGUCAGACGUGAAAUCCCUCAGCUUAACUGGGGAACUGCGUCUGAUACUGGCGAGCUUGAGUGCAGGAGAGGAAUGCGGAAUUCCAGGUGUAGCGGUGAAAUGCGUAGAUAUCUGGAGGAACACCGGUGGCGAAGGCGGCGUUCUGGACUGCAACUGACACUGAGGAACGAAAGCCAGGGGAGCAAACGGG